GAACGGGUGCGUAACACGUGGAUAACCUUCCUUCAGGUGGGGAAUAACCCAGUGAAAACUGGGCUAAUACCGCAUAACAUGACGAUGGCACAUGCUGUUGACUUCAAAGGCGCAAGUCGCCAGAAGAGGGAUCCGCGGCCGAUUAGCUUGUUGGCGAGGUAAUGGCUCACCAAGGCAUUGAUCGGUAGCCGGACUGAGAGGUUGGCCGGCCACACUGGAACUGAGACACGGUCCAGACUCCUACGGGAGGCAGCAGUGGGGAAUCUUGCACAAUGGACGAAAGUCUGAUGCAGCAACGCCGCGUGGGGGAUGAAGCUUCUCGGAGUGUAAACCCCUUUCGACCCGGAAGAAUGCCCGCAAGGGUUUGACGGUACGGGUAUAAGAAGCCCCGGCUAACUACGUGCCAGCAGCCGCGGUAAUACGUAGGGGGCCAGCGUUGCUCGGAAUUACUGGGCGUAAAGGGUCUGUAGGCGGUGCGGCAAGUCGAUAGUGAAAUCCCUAGGCUUAACCUAGGGGCUGCUAGCGAAACUGCCGUGCUAGAGUGUGAGAGAGGCGAGUGGAAUUACGGGUGUAGCGGUGAAAUGCGUAGAUAUCCGUAGGAACAUCCGAG
RNAcentral lists this ribosomal RNA (610 nucleotides) under uncultured bacterium. Its description in RNAcentral is "bacterial SSU rRNA". It matches the Rfam family "Bacterial small subunit ribosomal RNA", at positions 100 to 714 of the family's 1533-position model. The record is from RNAcentral.